UACAGAGGGGGCAAGCGUUGUUCGGAAUUACUGGGCGUAAAGGGUGCGUAGGUGGCGAGGUUAGUCAGGUGUGAAAUCUCGGGGCUCAACCCCGAAACUGCACUUGAUACUGCCUUGCUAGAGUACUGGAGAGGAGAUUGGAAUUUACGGUGUAGCAGUGAAAUGCGUAGAUAUCGUAAGGAAGACCAGUGGCGAAGGCGAAUCUCUGGACAGUUACUGACACUGAGGCACGAAGGCCAGGGGAGCAAACGGG
This 253-nucleotide ribosomal RNA is filed under the name uncultured bacterium. RNAcentral describes it as "partial 16S ribosomal RNA". It matches the Rfam family "Bacterial small subunit ribosomal RNA", at positions 524 to 776 of the family's 1533-position model. The record is from RNAcentral.